GUUGUUGGGUAGGGGAGCGUUCUGUAAGCCUGCGAAGGUGGCCUGUGAGGGUUGCUGGAGGUAUCAGAAGUGCGAAUGCUGACAUAAGUAACGAUAAAGCGGGUGAAAAGCCCGCUCGCCGGAAGACCAAGGGUUCCUGUCCAACGUUAAUCGGGGCAGGGUGAGUCGACCCCUAAGGCGAGGCCGAAAGGCGUAGUCGAUGGGAAACGGGUUAAUAUUCCCGUACUUGGUGUUACUGCGAAGGGGGGACGGAGAAGGCUAUGUUGGCCGGGCGACGGUUGUCCCGGUUUAAGCGUGUAGGUGUGUGUUCCAGGUAAAUCCGGUUCACUUUAACACUGAGGCGUGAUGACGAGGCACUACGGUGCUGAAGCAACAAAUGCCCUGCUUCCAGGAAAAGCCUCUAAGCAUCAGGUAACAUCAAAUCGUACCCCAAACCGACACAGGUGGUCAGGUAGAGAAUACCAAGGCGCUUGAGAGAACUCGGGUGAAGGAACUAGGCAAAAUGGUGCCGUAACUUCGGGAGAAGGCACGCUGACACGUAGGUGAAGUGAUUUACUCAUGGAGCUGAAGUCAGUCGAAGAUACCAGCUGGCUGCAACUGUUUAUUAAAAACACAGCACUGUGCAAACACGAAAGUGGACGUAUACGGUGUGACGCCUGCCCGGUGCCGGAAGGUUAAUUGAUGGGGUCAGCGCAAGCGAAGCUCCUGAUCGAAGCCCCGGUAAACGGCGGCCGUAACUAUAACGGUCCUAAGGUAGCGAAAUUCCUUGUCGGGUAAGUUCCGACCUGCACGAAUGGCGUAAUGAUGGCCAGGCUGUCUCCACCCGAGACUCAGUGAAAUUGAACUCGCUGUGAAGAUGCAGUGUACCCGCGGCAAGACGGAAAGACCCCGUGAACCUUUACUAUAGCUUGACACUGAACAUUGAGCCUUGAUGUGUAGGAUAGGUGGGAGGCUUUGAAGUGUGGACGCCAGUCUGCAUGGAGCCGGCCUUGAAAUACCACCCUUUAAUGUUUGAUGUUCUAACGUGGACCCGUGAUCCGGGUUGCGGACAGUGUCUGGUGGGUAGUUUGACUGGGGCGGUCUCCUCCUAAAGAGUAACGGAGGAGCACGAAGGUUGGCUAAUCCUGGUCGGACAUCAGGAGGUUAGUGCAAUGGCAUAAGCCAGCUUGACUGCGAGCGUGACGGCGCGAGCAGGUGCGAAAGCAGGUCAUAGUGAUCCGGUGGUUCUGAAUGGAAGGGCCAUCGCUCAACGGAUAAAAGGUACUCCGGGGAUAACAGGCUGAUACCGCCCAAGAGUUCAUAUCGACGGCGGUGUUUGGCACCUCGAUGUCGGCUCAUCACAUCCUGGGGCUGAAGUAGGUCCCAAGGGUAUGGCUGUUCGCCAUUUAAAGUGGUACGCGAGCUGGGUUUAGAACGUCGUGAGACAGUUCGGUCCCUAUCUGCCGUGGGCGCUGGAGAACUGAGGGGGGCUGCUCCUAGUACGAGAGGACCGGAGUGGACGCAUCACUGGUGUUCGGGUUGUCAUGCCAAUGGCACUGCCCGGUAGCUAAAUGCGGAAGAGAUAAGUGCUGAAAGCAUCUAAGCACGAAACUUGCCCCGAGAUGAGUUCUCCCUGAGACUUAGAGUCUCCUGAAGGAACGUUGAAGACGACGACGUUGAUAGGCCGGGUGUGUAAGCGCAGCGAUGCGUUGAGCUAACCGGUACUAAUGAACCGUGAGGCUUAACCUUACAACGCCGAAG
This 1740-nucleotide ribosomal RNA is filed under the name Salmonella enterica subsp. enterica. RNAcentral describes it as "bacterial LSU rRNA". It matches the Rfam family "Bacterial large subunit ribosomal RNA", at positions 1220 to 2925 of the family's 2925-position model. The record is from RNAcentral. Lineage: Bacteria; Pseudomonadati; Pseudomonadota; Gammaproteobacteria; Enterobacterales; Enterobacteriaceae.